UCCAUCCCGAACUUCUCGCAUUAAUAUCGCUUUCCCAGACCGUGGUGCUUAUAAGCAAAUCGGUGGAUCGGGGAGGCGACGGCGCCGCGAUCCAUCAGCGACUCAGGAGGCUGCAGCGUUCACCAGUGGCGGCGAUGGCAUGCCUGUCAAGGCGAUGGGCCGAGCGCGGCCGCGGCGUCUGCCGGAGGACGACAACAGCGAUCCAUCGGCAAUCCUGUGCGCGCGGCCGUGCGUCAACGGUGUGGAGAUGUCUGCCCGUGUCGCCGUUCGGCGAUAUUUUCCAAGGUGGUGGACGGCGGAGUAACAUCACGGCGCAACGGGAAGAUGGCUUUGUUCAGAAAUUUUCGUUGCCUCGAUGGAUAGUUAAUCUGUCUGUAGCAGUAGUUUGAGAAUCCGGAAUAUUUCUCAGAGAAACAAAUCUUUGUGAUUCUCGUUGGUAUUCAACUUUUUUAUUUUUAAAUUAUGGGCGGGGUAUGUGUAUGAAUUAAAUAGCGUAUAUUUCUAGUAUUCUGAUUUUGAUUGUACAUUAUUUUUAAUCAGCAUACGCUUCAAUCCGAGUCUAAAUUAUAACAGCUCA
Long non-coding RNA from Oryza sativa Japonica Group (Japanese rice), 577 nucleotides. RefSeq lists it as uncharacterized. The record is from RefSeq and is a predicted model, not a curated record. Lineage: Eukaryota; Viridiplantae; Streptophyta; Magnoliopsida; Poales; Poaceae.